RNAcentral lists this unclassified non-coding RNA (271 nucleotides) under rhizosphere metagenome. Its description in RNAcentral is "partial ribosomal RNA internal transcribed spacer region". The record is from RNAcentral.
GUAGGUGAACCUGCGGAAGGAUCAUUAACACUUUACAUCCACGUGUCUAAACAUCCGUUUAGGCAUAAACCCCCUUCAUAGCGAACUAGUCGGGUGGUUAUCUCGCAAGGGAUUUCCAUUCCGUCAUUUUUUCUCCUUUUUCUCUUAUUAACCUUUUUAAACCCAAUUGAAACUUCUAGACUGAAACUUCUGUUGCAGAUCUGCGAAAGCUUUUCUUGCAUCGAAAAAACAAAAUUCUAAACAACUCUUAACAACGGAUAUCUUGGUUCUC